RNAcentral lists this ribosomal RNA (506 nucleotides) under uncultured bacterium. RNAcentral describes it as "partial 16S ribosomal RNA". It matches the Rfam family "Bacterial small subunit ribosomal RNA", at positions 30 to 523 of the family's 1533-position model. The record is from RNAcentral.
AUUGAACGCUGGCGGCAGGCCUAACACAUGCAAGUCGAACGGUAACAGGAAACAGCUUGCUGUUUCGCUGACGAGUGGCGGACGGGUGAGUAAUGUCUGGGAAACUGCCUGAUGGAGGGGGAUAACUACUGGAAACGGUAGCUAAUACCGCAUAACGUCGCAAGACCAAAGAGGGGGACCUUCGGGCCUCUUGCCAUCGGAUGUGCCCAGAUGGGAUUAGCUAGUAGGUGGGGUAACGGCUCACCUAGGCGACGAUCCCUAGCUGGUCUGAGAGGAUGACCAGCCACACUGGAACUGAGACACGGUCCAGACUCCUACGGGAGGCAGCAGUGGGGAAUAUUGCACAAUGGGCGCAAGCCUGAUGCAGCCAUGCCGCGUGUAUAAAGAAGGCCUUCGGGUUGUAAAGUACUUUCAGCGGGGAGGAAGGGAGUAAAGUUAAUACCUUUGCUCAUUGACGUUACCCACAGAAGAAGCACCGGCUAACUCCGUGCCAGCAGCCGCAGUAA